UACAGAGGUCUCAAGCGUUGUUCGGAUUCAUUGGGCGUAAAGGGUGCGUAGGUGGCGUGGUAAGUCGGGUGUGAAAUUUCGGAGCUUAACUCCGAAACUGCAUUCGAUACUGCCGUGCUUGAGGACUGGAGAGGAGACUGGAAUUUACGGUGUAGCGGUGAAAUGCGUAGAUAUCGUAAGGAAGACCAGUGGCGAAGGCGGGUCUCUGGACAGUUCCUGACGCUGAGGCACGGAGGUCAGGGGAGCAAACGGG
Molecule: ribosomal RNA, 253 nt
Filed under: uncultured bacterium
Lineage: Bacteria
Description: partial 16S ribosomal RNA
Rfam family: Bacterial small subunit ribosomal RNA
Source: RNAcentral